RNAcentral lists this ribosomal RNA (297 nucleotides) under uncultured bacterium. RNAcentral's name for it is "partial 16S ribosomal RNA". It matches the Rfam family "Bacterial small subunit ribosomal RNA", at positions 333 to 644 of the family's 1533-position model. The record is from RNAcentral.
AUUCACCUACGGGAGGCAGCAGUGGGGAAUAUUGGACAAUGGGGGGAACCCUGAUCCAGCGACGCCGCGUGAGUGAAGAAGUAUCUCGGUAUGUAAAGCUCUAUCAGCAGGGAAGAAAGAAAUGACGGUACCUGACUAAGAAGCCCCGGCUAACUACGUGCCAGCAGCCGCGGUAAUACGUAGGGGGCAAGCGUUAUCCGGAUUUACUGGGUGUAAAGGGAGCGUAGACGGCAGGGCAAGUCUGGAGUGAAAGCCCGGGGCCCAACCCCGGGACUGCUUUGGAAACUGCCAUGCUGG